CCCAUGCGGGGAAGGAUGAGAAGCUUCGACUAAGGUUCGGCUCGAGCGUCAGCGAGAGAGCGUUGCCGCAGGCAACGACCCGAAGGGCGAAGCGCGCAGCGCUGAGUAAUCCUUCCCCCACCACCA
Molecule: small RNA, 126 nt
Filed under: Escherichia coli
Lineage: Bacteria; Pseudomonadati; Pseudomonadota; Gammaproteobacteria; Enterobacterales; Enterobacteriaceae
Description: partial RtT sRNA
Rfam family: RtT RNA
About the family: This family represents a bacterial cis-regulatory element known as RtT RNA. The exact function of RtT is unknown although it is thought that it may be involved in changing the cellular response in relation to amino acid starvation.
Source: RNAcentral